This 892-nucleotide ribosomal RNA is filed under the name uncultured archaeon. Its description in RNAcentral is "bacterial SSU rRNA". It matches the Rfam family "Archaeal small subunit ribosomal RNA", at positions 1 to 887 of the family's 1478-position model. The record is from RNAcentral.
UUCCGGUUGAUCCUGCCGGAGGUCACUGCUAUUGGGAUUCGGCUAAGCCAUGCAAGCGGAGGGCGCGGUCGAAAGAUCGUGGCCCCACACACUGCUCAGUAACACGUAGUCAACCUACCCUUGGGACGGGGACAACCUCGGGAAACUGAGGCUAAUCCCCGAUAGGUGAGGGACGCUGGAAUGCCUCCUCGCCCAAAGCUCCGGCGCCCAAGGAUGGGACUGCGGUCUAUCAGGCUGUUGGUGGUGUAACGGACCACCAAACCUACGACGGGUACGGGCGAUGGGAGUCGGAGCCCGGAGAUGGGGACUGAGACAAGGCCCCAGGCCCUACGGGGCGCAGCAGGCGCGAAAACUCCGCAAUGCGCGCAAGCGUGACGGGGGAAUCCCAAGUGCCGUUGGUCUUAUGAUCGACGGUUUUUAGGAAGUCUAAGAAGCUUCCAGAAUAAGGGCUGGGCAAGACCGGUGCCAGCCGCCGCGGUAACACCGGCAGCCCAAGUGAUGUCCGUUUUUAUUGGGCUUAAAGCGUUCGUAGCCGGCCUGUCAAGUCCCCGGUCAAAUCCGACGGCUCAACCGUCGGUUAUCUGGGGAUACUGGCAGGCUUGAGGCCGGGAGAGGUCAGAGGUACUCCUGGGGUAGGGGUAAAAUCCGAUAAUCCUGGGGGGGACCACCAGUGGCGAAGGCGUCUGACUGGAACGGGCCUGACGGUGAGGGACGAAACCCUGGGUAGCGAUCCGGAUUAGAUACCCGGGUAGUCCAGGGCGUAAACGAUGUGGGCUGGGUGUGGGCUAAUCAGAAUGAUUAGUCUGUGCCGAAGCGAAAGCGAUAAGCUCACCGUCUGGGGAGUACGGUCGCAAGGCUGAAACUUAAGAAUUGGCGGGGGGGCACACAAGGG